CGGGCAGGUAAGUCAGUGGUGAAAUCCUGGAGCUCAACUCCAGAACUGCCAUUGAUACUAUCUGUCUUGAAUAUUGUGGAGGUAAGCGGAAUAUGUCAUGUAGCGGUGAAAUGCUUAGAUAUGACAUAGAACACCCAUUGCGAAGGCAGCUUACUACGCAUAUAUUGACGCUGAGGCACGAAAGCGUGGGGAUCAAACAGGAUUAGGUACCCUGGUAGUCCACGCCCUAAACGAUGGAUACUCGACAUACGCGAUACACUGUGUGUGUCUGAGCGAAAGCAUUAAGUAUCCCACCUGGGAAGUACGUUCGCAAGAAUGAAACUCAAAGGAAUUGGCGGGGGUCCGCACAAGCGGUGGAGUAUGUGGUUUAAUUCGAUGAUACGCGAGGAACCUUACCUGGGCUAGAAUGCUGGGAGAUCGCUAGUGAAAGCUAGUUUUGUAGCAAUACACUGCCAGCAAGGUGCUGCAUGGCCGUCGUCAGCUCGUGCCGUGAGGUGUUGGGUUAAGUCCCGCAACGAGCGCAACCCCUAUCUUUAGUUGCCAACAGGUAAUGCUGGGAACUCUAAAGAAACUGCCGCCGUAAGGUGUGAGGAAGGAGGGGAUGAUGUCAGGUCAUCAUGGCCUUUAUGCCCAGGGCUACACACGUACUACAAUGGGGAAGACAAAGGGCUGCAACAUAGCGAUAUGAAGCCAAUCCCAAAAACUUCCUCUCAGUUCAGAUUGCAGGCUGCAACUCGCCUGCAUGAAGCUGGAAUCGCUAGUAAUCGU
Molecule: ribosomal RNA, 768 nt
Filed under: uncultured bacterium
Lineage: Bacteria
Description: bacterial SSU rRNA
Rfam family: Bacterial small subunit ribosomal RNA
Source: RNAcentral